AGAGUUUGAUCCUGGCUCAGAGCGAACGCUGGCGGCGUGCUUAACACAUGCAAGUCGAACGCGCAGCAUUCUGUAGCAAUACAGGGUGUGGGCGCGUGGCGAACGGGUGCGUAACACGUGGAUAACCUUCCUUCAGGUGGGGAAUAACCCAGUGAAAAUUGGGCUAAUACCGCAUAACAUCGCGAUGGCACAUGCUGUUGCGUUCAAAGGCGCAAGUCGCCAGAAGAGGGAUCCGCGGCCGAUUAGCUUGUUGGCGGGGUAACGGCCCACCAAGGCUUUGAUCGGUAGCCGGACUGAGAGGUUGGCCGGCCACACUGGAACUGAGACACGGUCCAGACUCCUACGGGAGGCAGCAGUGGGGAAUCUUGCACAAUGGGCGAAAGCCUGAUGCAGCAACGCCGCGUGGGGGAUGAAGCUUCUCGGAGUGUAAACCCCUUUCGACCCGGACGAAUGCCCGCAAGGGUUUGACGGUACGGGUAUAAGAAGCCCCGGCUAACUACGUGCCAGCAGCCGCGGUAAUACGUANGGGGCCAGCGUUGCUCGGAAUUACUGGGCGUAAAGGGUCCGUANGCGGUGCGGCAAGUCGAUAGUGAAAUCUCUGGGCUUAACUCAGANGCUGCUAACGAAACUGCCGUGCUAAAGUGUGA
Molecule: ribosomal RNA, 647 nt
Filed under: uncultured Acidobacteriota bacterium
Lineage: Bacteria; Pseudomonadati; Acidobacteriota
Description: bacterial SSU rRNA
Rfam family: Bacterial small subunit ribosomal RNA
Source: RNAcentral